This 1466-nucleotide ribosomal RNA is filed under the name uncultured Bordetella sp. RNAcentral's name for it is "partial 16S-23S ribosomal RNA intergenic spacer". It matches the Rfam family "Bacterial small subunit ribosomal RNA". Lineage: Bacteria; Pseudomonadati; Pseudomonadota; Betaproteobacteria; Burkholderiales; Alcaligenaceae. The record is from RNAcentral.
AGUUCGAUCCUAGCUCAGAUUGAACGCUGGCGGGAUGUGCUACACAUGCAAGUCGAACGGCAGCACGGACUUCGGUCUGGUGGCGAGUGGCGAACGGGUGUGAUAAUGUAUCGAACGUGCCUAGUAGCGGGGGAUAACUACGCAGCGUAGCUAAUACCGCAUACGCCCUUCGGGGAAAGCGGGGGACCUUCGGGCCUCGCGCACUAUUAAACGGCCAUUCUGUCGGUUAGCUGGUUGGUGGGGUAACGGCUCGCAGGCGACGAUCCGUGGCGCUGGUUUGAAGGACGACCAGCCACACACAGGACUGAGACACAGCCCCAGACUCCUACGCAGGAGAGCAGCAGUGGGGAAUUUUGGACUAAGGAAGCCUGAUCCAGCCAUCCCGCGUGUGCGAUGAGCCUUCGGGUUGCGAAAGCACUUUUGGCAGGAAAGAAACGGCACGGGAUAAUACCCCGUGCAACUGACAGUACCUGCAGAAUAAGCACCAGCCUUUAAAGUACCAGCAGCCGCGGUAAUACGUAAGGUCACAAGCGUUAAUCGAGAUUACUGGGCGUAAAGCGUGCGCAGGCGGUUCGGAAAGAAAGAUGUGAAAUCCCAGAGCUUAACUGGAACUGCAUUUUUAACUACCGAGCUAGAGUGUGUCAGAGGGAGAUUCCGCGUGGCAACAGUGAAAUGCGUAGAUAUGCGGAAGAACACGAUGGCGGAGGCAGCCUCCUGGGAUAACACUGACGCUCAUGCACGAAAGCGUGGGAGCAAGCAGGAUUAGAUACCCUGGUAGUCCACGCCUGAAGCGAUGUCAACUAGCUGUUGGGGCCUUCGGGCCUUGGUAGCGCAGCUAACGCGUGAAGUUGACCGCCUGGGAGAGUACGGUCGCAAGAUUAAAACUCAAAGUUGACGGGGACCCGCACAAGCGGUGGAUGAUGUGGAUUAAUUCGAUGCAACGCGAAAAACCUUACCUACCCUUGACAUGUCUGGAAUCCCGAAGAGAUUUGGGAGUGCUCGCAAGAGAACCGGAACACAGGUGCUGCAUGGCUGUCGUCAGCUCGUGUCGUGAGAUGUUGGGUUAAGUCCCGCAACGAGCGCAACCCUUGUCAUUAGUUGCUACGAAGGGGCACUCUAAUGAGACUGCCGGUAGCAAACCGGAGGAAGGUGGGGAUGACGUCAAGUCCUCAUGGCCCUUAUGGGUGAGACACGCGUCAUACAAUGGUCAGGACAGAGGGUCAUAACCCGCGAGGAGCCGUCCCCAACCCGAUCGUAGUCCGGAUCGCAGUCUGCAACUCGACUGCGUGAAGUCGGAAUCGCUAGUAAUCGCGGAUCAGCAUAUGCUUGGUGAAUACGUUCCCGGGUCUUGUACACACCGCCCGUCACACCAUGGAGUGGGUUUUUACCGUGAAUUUAACCUAACCGUAAGGAGGGCGAUUACCACGGUAAAGUUCAUGACUGGGGUGAAGUCGUAACAAAACCAG